GGACCUGACUGCUAUCGGAUUGAUACUAAGCCAUGCGAGUCAUUGUAGUAAUACAAGGCAGACGGCUCAGUAACGCGUAGUCAACCUACCCUAUGGACGGGGAUAACCUCGGGAAACUGAGAAUAAUACCCGAUAGAACAUUAUGCCUGGAAUGGUUUAUGUUUCAAAUAAUUUAUUGCCGUAGGAUGGGACUGCGGCCUAUCAGUUUGUUGGUGAGGUAAUGGCCCGCCAAGACUAUUACAGGUACGGGCUCUGAGAGGAGUAGCCCGGAGAUGGGUACUGAGACACGGACCCAGGCCCUAUGGGGCGCAGCAGGCGAGAAAACUUUGCAAUGUGCGAAAGCACGACAAGGUUAAUCCGAGUGGUUUCUGCUAAAGGAACCUUUUGUCAGUCCUAGAAACACUGAUGAAUAAGGGGUGGGCAAGUUCUGGUGU
This 434-nucleotide ribosomal RNA is filed under the name uncultured archaeon. Its description in RNAcentral is "bacterial SSU rRNA". It matches the Rfam family "Archaeal small subunit ribosomal RNA", at positions 19 to 458 of the family's 1478-position model. The record is from RNAcentral.